UACGAAGGGGGCUAGCGUUGCUCGGAAUUACUGGGCGUAAAGCGUGCGCAGGCGGCUUCUCAAGUCAGGGGUGAAAGCCCAGAGCUCAACUCUGGAAUUGCCUUUGAGACUGAGUGGCUUGAGUACGAGAGAGGUGAGUGGAAUUCCCAGUGUAGAGGUGAAAUUCGUAGAUAUUGGGAAGAACACCGGUGGCGAAGGCGGCUCACUGGCUCGUAACUGACGCUCAUGCACGACAGCGUGGGGGAUCAAACAGG
RNAcentral lists this ribosomal RNA (254 nucleotides) under uncultured bacterium. RNAcentral's name for it is "partial 16S ribosomal RNA". It matches the Rfam family "Bacterial small subunit ribosomal RNA", at positions 524 to 776 of the family's 1533-position model. The record is from RNAcentral.